Molecule: long non-coding RNA, 247 nt
Organism: Haliotis rubra (blacklip abalone)
Lineage: Eukaryota; Metazoa; Mollusca; Gastropoda; Lepetellida; Haliotidae
Exons: 3
Source: RefSeq, a predicted model, not a curated record
GUGGCAUGUUACUCUGAAGGUAAAACAGUUAUGGGGGCAGUCAAAUAGCUUUGGGUGGCAUGUUACUCUGAAGGUAAAACAGUUACGGGGGCAGUCAAAUAGCUUUGGGUGGCAUGUUACUCUGAAGGUAAAACAGUUACGGGGGCAGUCAAAUAGCUUUGGGUGGCAUGUUACUCUGAAGGUAAAACAGUUACGGGAGCAGUCAAAUAGCUUUGGGUGGCAUGUUACUCUGAAGGUAAAACAGUUA